AGAGAGAGACAUGCGCGCAUAUCAAUAAGCGGAGGAAAAGAAACUAACAAGGAUUCCCUUAGUAACGGCGAGUGAAGCGGGAAGAGCUCAAAUUUGAAAUCUUCAAGGUUUUACCUUGACGAAUUGUAGUUUAAAGAAGUGUUUUCUGCUGAAGUUUUGGUAUAAGUUCUUUGGAAUAGGACAUCAUAGAGGGUGAGAAUCCCGUAUUUGACCAUUAUUUUCAGCUUUGUGAUACACUUUCAAAGAGUCGGAUUGUUUGGGAAUGCAGUCCAAAAUGGGUGGUAAAUUUCAUCUAAAGCUAAAUAUUGGCGAGAGACCGAUAGCGAACAAGUACCGUGAGGGAAAGAUGAAAAGAACUUUGAAAAGAGAGUUAAACAGUACGUGAAAUUGUCAAAAGGGAAGCGUUUGACACUAGUGUUGUUUUCUCGAAAAUCAAUUUAAAAAUGGCUCGAUUUUGUAUUGCUGAGACCUUAAAAGCUCACUGUACAUUUUUCGUGUCUUUUUUAAUGCACUUUUCGUUUAACAAGUCAACAUCAGUUUCUUUUGUUGUAAAAGGGUCAUUGGAAGGUGGCUUUCUUUUCGGAGAAAGUGUAUUAUAGCCUUUGGCCUCUGCAAUCGAAGAGACUGAGGUCUGCAGCGUAGACUCUUCGGGGUUAGAUACAUUUGUGCUAAGUUAUAGCUUUUUAUAGACAACUUGUUGACUAUAAUUAGUCUUGUAGCUUACUCGCUUAUGCUAUUUUACCUACGCUUAGGAUGUUGAAGAUGUAGCACAUCAU
Molecule: ribosomal RNA, 776 nt
Filed under: uncultured Neocallimastigales
Lineage: Eukaryota; Fungi; Neocallimastigomycota; Neocallimastigomycetes; Neocallimastigales
Description: partial large subunit ribosomal RNA
Rfam family: Eukaryotic large subunit ribosomal RNA
Source: RNAcentral